This 892-nucleotide small RNA is filed under the name Histoplasma ohiense. RNAcentral's name for it is "hypothetical lncRNA". Lineage: Eukaryota; Fungi; Ascomycota; Eurotiomycetes; Onygenales; Ajellomycetaceae. The record is from RNAcentral.
UCGCUGCUAAGCUAUCGCCGCUGCCAACCUAUCUAUUGCUGCAAGCUAUCCCUCACUGCUAAGCUAUCCCUCGCUGCUAAGCUAUCCCUCGCUGCUAAGCUAUCCCUCGCUGCUAAGCUAUCCCUCACUACUAAGCUAUCUAUCGCUGCUAAUCUAUCGCUGCCAACCUAUCUAUCGCUGCCAACCUAUCUAUCGCUGCCAAUUUAUCUACCACUGCCAAUCUAUCUAUCGCUGCUAAUCUAUCGCUGCUGUCAAUCUAUCUAUCGCUGCUAAUCUAUCUAUUGCUGCUAAUCUAUCGCUGCUAAUCUAUUGCUGCUGCCAAUCUAUCUAUCACUGCUAAUCUAUCACUGCUAAUCUAUCGCUGCUGCCAAUCUAUCGCUGCUAAUUUAUUGCUGCUGCCAAUCUAUCUAUCGCUGCUAAUCUAUCGCUGCCAACCUAUCUAUUGCUGCCAAUCUAUCUAUUGCUGUCAAUUUAUCUACCACUGCCAAUCUAUCUAUCGCUGCUAAUCUAUCGCUGCCAACCUAUCUACCGCGGCGAAUCUAUCUAUUGCUGCCAACCAAUCUAUCUACCACUGCCAACCUAUCUAUCGCUGCCAAUCUAUCGCUGCCAAUCUAUCGCUGCCAACCUAUCUACUGCAGUGAAUCUAUCUAUCACUAUCAUUACUAGUUCAAAAUAGAACUAGAGCAUAAAUACACUAAACUUCUUUUAAUAGAUAAUGAUUUUUGAUAACACUCAUAGCAUUAUAUCAUCUAUAUAGGGUAAAUCAUGGUCCCAUUUGGUCCCAUUUUACAAAAUGAGAUCAAAUGAGAUCAGAAUCAGUGUAAUAGGCGCAACGGAGAUAUCUAUAUUAGAAAAUAGCUAUGUGGCGAUAGAAGAACACAGAACACGCCAG